Molecule: long non-coding RNA, 892 nt
Organism: Zophobas morio
Lineage: Eukaryota; Metazoa; Arthropoda; Insecta; Coleoptera; Tenebrionidae
Exons: 3
Source: RefSeq, a predicted model, not a curated record
AAUUGCGAUUUUUUUACAAACGCUUAAGUGGGUAUAGAUCAUAUUUAAAAGGUAUGAGAUUUAACUGCCAAAACUGACAUGUCAAAUUUUAGUACACAUAAAACGUUUGCCUUACUAAUAAUUCAUUAUGUUCAUGCAUGUCUGAAUUUUUACUAAUAAAUUAAUCAACAUAUAUAAUUUAAUGUAAAACCUUCGUAUAAACCUAAAAAUGGAAGAAACUAGUGUGGAGGGCCCUACUCUGCCCUUUCCCUGGAACCACCUCUACAAUUUUGUAAUCUUCCUUCUUUACAAAGUACUCAAAAUCAACAUAAUACUUAGUCUAAUAUCCAACAUAUUCUGGAUACUGAUGUCGUUUUAUUGUGUUAAAAAAUAUAAUGAAAAAUAUGGCAGCAACGAUUUAAUGCGGUUUGCUUACGUAACGUUUGGCAUUAGCGUCCUUAAUAGUUGUAUGGCCCUCACAGAAUUUUUUUCCGAAAAUAUAAUGACUUCCAUGAGAACACUUCUGGAACUGCUGCAAGCAUCCUUGGCAGUACCUUGUUUAACAACUGAGGUAUGGCUCAAAUAUGAAGUUGCCCAAAAAGAAGUGGCUUGGCUUCACACAGCCGUCGGUUUAAUACCUACGUAUAUUUUUUUAUUUCAACAUUACACGAGACAAGAUCUGAUCGAUUUUGCUAUUGUUAUGAGUAUGCUAUCGCUGCUGGGAGUUGGCUUUAUAUACCGCGACAUUUAUGCAAUAGGAAGCGCUAUGUUUACUUUUUUAGCUUAUUGCAUAUUCUUCUUCAGAAAUGAAAUUUCGUACGACCAAAUGUCGAAGCAGUUCUACAAUUACUGCAUGGCCUUUUUUACAUUUUGUGCGUACAAAAGUGUCAUUUAAAAUACACAAACAAUGGUA